This 22-nucleotide non-coding RNA is filed under the name Arabidopsis thaliana (thale cress). Lineage: Eukaryota; Viridiplantae; Streptophyta; Magnoliopsida; Brassicales; Brassicaceae. The record is from RNAcentral.
CUAGAUUAUAAGGUGUGCUACU